CUCCAGCGGCAGGUUCAGGGACGACUACAUGACCCCGAUCGCGAGGUUCUUGGCCACCACCGGCGCGCCGCUGUUGGCGAACGUGUACCCCUACUUCGCCUACAAAGACGACCAGGAAAGCGGGCAGAAAAACAUCAUGCUCAACUACGCCACCUUCCAGCCGGGCACGACGGUGGUGGACAACGGGAACAGGCUGACCUACACGUGCCUCUUCGACGCGAUGGUCGACUCCAUCUACGCCGCGCUGGAGAAGGCCGGCACACCGAGCGUCAGCGUCGUCGUGUCCGAGAGCGGGUGGCCGU
RNAcentral lists this long non-coding RNA (302 nucleotides) under Oryza sativa (Asian cultivated rice). RNAcentral describes it as "long non-coding RNA (OSAT_LNC001332)". The record is from RNAcentral. Lineage: Eukaryota; Viridiplantae; Streptophyta; Magnoliopsida; Poales; Poaceae.